RNAcentral lists this small RNA (28 nucleotides) under Bombyx mori (domestic silkworm). RNAcentral describes it as "ovarian small RNA-26617". Lineage: Eukaryota; Metazoa; Arthropoda; Insecta; Lepidoptera; Bombycidae. The record is from RNAcentral.
UCCAAUUGAUGUCCAGUGCGGCUGGUCC